GAUACUGAACUUAUUCACUGCUAUUUUACUGGAAGCAUUUAAUGUUGACAACCUUGCGAAGGGAAAACGAGAAAAGGAGAAUUCUGAAAAGUUAAAAAGAGGAAUUGAUGUUAUUCGAAGCAAAAUUAAAAAGAAAUCACAAAAUGUGAACCCAGAACAAAGUAUAACUGAUGAUCAGAACAAACAAGAUGAUACUGACUCAAAUAAAACAGAAUCUAGCAGCACAAUCCAAACAGCUUCUUCCACCACAAAUGAACACUCG
Ciona intestinalis (vase tunicate) is the source of this 262-nucleotide non-coding RNA. NCBI's taxonomy places the organism in Eukaryota, Metazoa, Chordata, Ascidiacea, Phlebobranchia, Cionidae. The record is from RefSeq and is a predicted model, not a curated record.